Molecule: unclassified non-coding RNA, 388 nt
Filed under: Hevea brasiliensis (rubber tree)
Lineage: Eukaryota; Viridiplantae; Streptophyta; Magnoliopsida; Malpighiales; Euphorbiaceae
Source: RNAcentral
CUUUUCUCCAGGAAGGAUAGCUUCAUAACUCACAGGGCAUUCUGUGACGCGUUAGCAGAAGAAAGUGCAAGACUCUCAGCUCACCAAUUAGUUACCACAAAUCCAACUGCCCAAACUCUUCUUCUGCAAAACCCACAAUCCCACAAUUCUCUCUUCCCUUUCACUACCCACCAUCAUCAUCAGCUCUCCCUCAACCCCUGGGACCCACCACCUCAUAACCCUAGCAACCCUACUCAAAACCCAGUUCAAAUCAAGCCUGAAACUCAACAUUUCCAGCUUGCACCAGUCUUCCGAGAACCGCCACCAUCGUUGCCAACCCACCAGGGUUUGAUAACCUCACCGUUCCAAAGCCUAUCAAACCCUGCCGUGUCGGCAUCAUCGAACCACC